Non-coding RNA from Kogia breviceps (pygmy sperm whale), 1124 nucleotides. NCBI's taxonomy places the organism in Eukaryota, Metazoa, Chordata, Mammalia, Artiodactyla, Physeteridae. The record is from RefSeq and is a predicted model, not a curated record.
GAAGCAGAGGGAACAGGAUGAGCUGAUGAGCAUCCUCGAGGGAGUUUAGAGCCCAGUGGGCCUCCCUGCUCUCCACUCCCAGUUAACUGCCCUGCCUAGUCUGGGCUCUGGGGAGUGACCCUGAAGUUCCAGAAACUGACCACUGAGGGGCAGUAUCAACCCACUUCUGAAGGGAAGAUGGCCUGUUCCUUUGGAACCUGGAAGACUCCUCUGCCAGGUCCCGGAACUGGUCAUUGGAGACAAUGAUCCCAUCAGUCUCUUCAGCCAGCUUCACCAUGAACCUGUCACGAAAACCACGGCAUCCAAUUGGAAUUCUCCAAGGUCCCAGCCCCAAAGAGCGUUAUCAACUCCCGUGACCCACUUCUGGUGAUGGAGAUCCGGCCCCCUCACCUUGAUCCAGCCACCAGCCUUUGCCAAGAAAGUUAACUACUCUGACCCUCCGUCUCCAUUUCUGUACAACAGAGGUAAGACCCUCUGCCACACUUGAUUGGAUCCAUGAAAAACUAAGCAAUAUUACUGCCCUCUUGCCCAGCACCCUGAGUGAGACAAACACAUACCUUAGCUUCUUUUGACAUUCACAAGGAGGAUGAAUGAAUGGAAGAGAACCUUGAGACAAAGUGAUUAAUCCACUAAGAGACUCCACAGUCAAUGACUGUGCAAACUGGGACUCAAAUCCAGACCUGCAAAUUCUAAGACCCAUGAUCUUUCACUGUCUUUUAUUAUACCAUGUUUUGUACAGUCUUACUAUGCAUGGAAUGCGUUUCUUCAUUUAUAGUUAUUUUGAACAUUUACUCUGGUUUUUCCAGAAGGCUGGGGAAUUUCUCUAUGUAUUUGGACAUCCAGGUUGUAAGAGGCAUUUGUCAGCUAUUCAUGUCAUUGGCUUUCCCAUCUUUCCAUUAAACCAGUAUUUUCUAGACAGUAAGGCACUAUAUAAAUAUGAGGCAUCCUUUAGUUUGAUGAGUGAAAAGUGAAGGAUGAGUAGACAAACAGAACUGUCCACCAUCCAUCUCAUCCUGCCUGCAGGGCAGGUUUACCUCCCCAAUCAUAGGGGCACACGGAGGAGAACUGACCCUUGUCCCACGACUCAGGCUUACAGUGUGAAGGGUCAGGAGCUUCUGUCUCUC